Molecule: non-coding RNA, 74 nt
Organism: Bombyx mori (domestic silkworm)
Lineage: Eukaryota; Metazoa; Arthropoda; Insecta; Lepidoptera; Bombycidae
Source: Rfam
UUAACUAAAAUUUGUAUGGAGUUGGAACGUUUGCCGCUAAGGGCGCUGUUCCAACUGCAUACAAAUUUAAUGUU